RNAcentral lists this ribosomal RNA (450 nucleotides) under uncultured bacterium. Its description in RNAcentral is "partial 16S ribosomal RNA". It matches the Rfam family "Bacterial small subunit ribosomal RNA", at positions 338 to 795 of the family's 1533-position model. The record is from RNAcentral.
CCUACGGGGGGCUGCAGUAAGGAAUAUUGGUCAAUGGAGGAAACUCUGAACCAGCCAUCCCGCGUGAAGGAUGAAGGGGCUCUGCCUUGUAAACUUCUUUUGUCUGGGGCGAAAAAGCUCGAUUUAUCGAGAACUGACGGUACCAGAAGAAUAAGCACCGGCUAACUCCGUGCCAGCAGCCGCGGUCAUACGGAGGGUGCAAGCGUUAUCCGGAGUCACUGGGUUUAAGGAGGCCGUAGACUAAGUCAGAGGUGAAAGGCUGUGGCUUAACCAUGGAAUUGCCAUUGAUACUGCAGAGCUUGAAUGAGGUUGAGGUUGGCGGAAUGUGACAUGUAGCGGUGAAAUGCUUAGAUAUGUCAUGGAACACCGAUUGCGAAGGCAGCUGACUGGACCUAUAUUGACGCUGAGGCACGAAAGCGUGGGGAGCGAACAGGAUUAGAUACCGUAGUC